Sander lucioperca (pikeperch) is the source of this 520-nucleotide long non-coding RNA. RefSeq lists it as uncharacterized. The transcript is spliced from 3 exons. Lineage: Eukaryota; Metazoa; Chordata; Actinopteri; Perciformes; Percidae. The record is from RefSeq and is a predicted model, not a curated record.
CAAGUCUUAUCCAUGAUAUCUUAAUGACAAAUAAAAAUGGUAUCACUUUACUUGAGGUCUAAAUAUUUAUUAGUUACACUGUCAUAAUGUUGUCAUGACAGCAAGUCUUAUCCAUGAUAUCUUAAUGACAAAUAAAAAUGAUACCACUUUACUUGAGGUCAAAAUAUUUAUUAGUUAUACUGUCAUAAUGUUGUCAUGACAGCAAGUCUUAUCCAUGAUAUCUUAAUGACAAAUAAAAAUGGUACCACUUUACUUGAGGUCAAAGAAUGUAUUUGUUACACUGUCAUAAUGGUGUCAUGACAGCAAGUCUUAUCCUUCAUGAUAUCUUAAUGACAAAUAAAAAUGAUACCACUUUACUUGAGGUAAAAAUAUUUAUUAGUUACACUGUCAUAAUGUUGUCAUGACAGCAAGUCUUAUCCAUGAUAUCUUAAUGACAAAUAAAAAUGAUACCACUUUACUUGAGGUCAAAGAAUGUAUUUGUUACACUGUCAUAAUGGUGUCAUGACAGCAAGUCUUAUCC